AUGAACCGAAACAAUCUUUUAAUCUCUUUACAAAAUAUGCUGGUAGCCCAUUUACAUCCCUGUGUAUAGGUCAACGUCUAUAGACAAAUAUAUUUACAUGUAAGUAUACAAGUUUGUACACAUUCUUUGGUAAUAAAAAAUGAUCAAAGUUUCAUGAACUCGGUAGAUACAAAAUCAAAAUAUACAACAAUAUGUCUGUCAAAUAUUAAAGCACAAAGAUUGAUUUAUUAUACCGGCUACAUUAUAGGAAACCGUUAGUCUUUUGUAAAGCAAGAGUAUUAAAAGCAAGUGUUUGUGUUUCUUAGCAGACUAAAAAAGUUGAUCUUAUAAACAUCUUUCAACUAUUGCACACGGUUUGUACUUUUCGAAAACUGCUAAAAACACAACACACUGUGGCGCAACAUAAAGAUGUUAACAUUGUGAAGGAGAAUGUAAGGCGAUGGGGUUCCCACAGAAGCGAUAUAUUGCAGCUCCUAAAUUUACCUGCAAUU
Non-coding RNA from Biomphalaria pfeifferi, 491 nucleotides. The record is from the annotation of a GenBank genome assembly. NCBI's taxonomy places the organism in Eukaryota, Metazoa, Mollusca, Gastropoda, Planorbidae.